This 530-nucleotide ribosomal RNA is filed under the name Ramalinaceae sp. RNAcentral's name for it is "SSU rRNA". It matches the Rfam family "Bacterial small subunit ribosomal RNA", at positions 345 to 925 of the family's 1533-position model. The record is from RNAcentral. Lineage: Eukaryota; Fungi; Ascomycota; Lecanoromycetes; Lecanorales; Ramalinaceae.
CCAGCAACUUGGAGGAAUGUAUAGCAAUGGCUAAUUGUGUAAUAAUAUGCAAUAUCAACUUAGUUGAAUAAAAUUCUGGAUGAACUUUGAUAAUGACAUUGUUUAUCCAUAUGUCUUGACCAAAUUACGUGCCAGCAGUCGCGGUAACACGUCAAAGGCUAGUGUUAUUCAUCUUUAAUAGGUUUAAAGGGUACUUAGACGGCAAAUCAAGCCUUAAACGGGACUAAUUUGCUAGAGUUAAAUACGAGGGGGCUUAAAAGUACUUUUGGUCUAAAGAUGAAAUUUAUUGAGACCAUUUUCAAAAGAAAAGUAGGCACAGGUAAAGGCGAAAGCAUCUCCCUAUGUAAUAACUGACGUUGAAGGACGAAGGCUUUGAAUAGCGAAUAGGAUUAGAUACCCUAGUAGUCGAAGGAGAAAAUGAUGAGUGUCAUAGACUAGACAAAUGUUUAGUGCAUAAAUGAAAGUGUAAGCACUCCACCUUAUGAGUAAAGUGGCAACACCGAAAUUGAAAUCAUUAGACCGUUUCUGAA